AGGGGCCAGAGCUUCUGCCUCCAAAAUUUCCUCCUUUCAUGGGUCCAAAAUUUGAAGAUUGAUUGUUGUAAUUUCCAAAAUCAUUGUAGCUUCCGCCACCUCCAAAAUUGCUUCCAUCAUUACCAAAUCCAUUAAAAGCAAAUCCUCUCUUCUUGCCACUGCCUCUGUCAGUCAUGAUUUCAAUCACUUCAAUUUUCCCAUAUUGUUCAAAAUAAUCUCUUAGGUGAUGUUCUUCAGUGUCUUCUUUAAUGCCACCAACAAAAAUCUUUUUCACAGUUAAGUGGGCACCAGGUCUUUGAGAAUCUUCUCUUGAGACGGCCCUCUUUGGUUCCACAACUCGUCCAUCCACCUUGUGUGGCCUUGCAUUCAUAGCUGCAUCCACCUCCUCCACAGUGGCUUACGUGACAAAGCCAAAGCCUCUGGAGUGCUUGGUGUUUGGACUC
This 443-nucleotide long non-coding RNA is filed under the name Equus caballus (horse). RNAcentral's name for it is "lncRNA (ENSECAG00000058877.1)". The record is from RNAcentral. Lineage: Eukaryota; Metazoa; Chordata; Mammalia; Perissodactyla; Equidae.